This 164-nucleotide non-coding RNA is filed under the name human gut metagenome. RNAcentral describes it as "Lysine riboswitch". It matches the Rfam family "Lysine riboswitch aptamer". From Rfam's summary of the family: Riboswitches are metabolite binding domains within certain messenger RNAs that serve as precision sensors for their corresponding targets. Allosteric rearrangement of mRNA structure is mediated by ligand binding, and this results in modulation of gene expression. This family includes riboswitches that sense lysine in a number of genes involved in lysine metabolism, including lysC. The record is from RNAcentral.
AAUGGUAGAGGCGCGGUUUUUAUCAGUAGAAACGCUCAUACGAAAGGCAAACGGAGCUUUUUGAAAGGAAACGCCGCCGAAACAUAUAUCACAUUGCCUUUGAGAUAUAUGUUGGGUUGUAGGAGAACAUCUUGCAGACUGUCACUUUUGUGAAGCGCUAUCCG